This 253-nucleotide ribosomal RNA is filed under the name uncultured bacterium. RNAcentral's name for it is "partial 16S ribosomal RNA". It matches the Rfam family "Bacterial small subunit ribosomal RNA", at positions 524 to 776 of the family's 1533-position model. The record is from RNAcentral.
UACGUAGGUGCGAGCGUUGUCCGGAAUUAUUGGGCGUAAAGGGCUCGUAGGCGGUUUGUCGCGUCGGGAGUGAAAACACACAGCUUAACUGUGUGCUUGCUUCCGAUACGGGCAGACUAGAAGGUAUGCAGGGGAGAACGGAAUUCCUGGUGUAGCGGUGAAAUGCGCAGAUAUCAGGAGGAACACCGGUGGCGAAGGCGGUUCUCUGGGCAUUACCUGACGCUGAGGAGCGAAAGUGUGGGGAGCGAACAGG